GAACGGGUGAGUAAUACAUAAAUAAUCUACCAUAAUGACUGGGAUAACCGAUGGAAACGCUGGCUAAUACCGGAUAGGUAAAACGAGGGCAUCUUUGUUUUAUUAAAGUAGGACUACUACACAAUAUGAUGAGUUUAUGGCGCAUUAGCUAGUUGGUGAGGUAACGGCUCACCAAGGCGAUGAUGCGUAGCCGACCUGAGAGGGUGACCGGCCACACUGGGACUGAGACACGGCCCAGACUCCUACGGGAGGCAGCAGUAGGGAAUUUUCGGCAAUGGGCGCAAGCCUGACCGAGCAACGCCGCGUGAGUGAAGAAAGCCUUCGGGUUGUAAAGCUCUGUUGUAAGGGAAGAACACUUUUUAGAGGAAAUGCUAGAGAGCUGACGGUACCUUACCAGAAAGCCACGGCUAACUACGUGCCAGCAGCCGCGGUAAUACGUAGGUGGCGAGCGUUAUCCGGAAUUAUUGGGCGUAAAGGGUGCGUAGGCGGUUUAUUAAGUCUGUGGUGAAAGUGCGGGGCUCAACCCCGUAUGGCCACAGAAACUGAUAGACUAGAGUACAGGAGAGGGCAGUGGAAUUCCAUGUGUAGCGGUAAAAUGCGUAGAUAUAUGGAGGAACACCGGUGGCGAAGGCGGCUGCCUGGCCUGUAACUGACGCUGAGGCACGAAAGCGUGGGGAGCAAAUAGGAUUAGAUACCCUAGUAGUCCACGCUGUAAACGAUGAUUACUAAGUGUUGGAGAAAUUCAGUGCUGCAGUUAACGCAAUAAGUAAUCCGCCUGGGGAGUAUGCACGCAAGUGUGAAACUCAAAGGAAUUGACGGGACCCCGCACAAGCGGUGGAGUAUGUGGUUUAAU
Molecule: ribosomal RNA, 853 nt
Filed under: uncultured bacterium
Lineage: Bacteria
Description: bacterial SSU rRNA
Rfam family: Bacterial small subunit ribosomal RNA
Source: RNAcentral